This is a long non-coding RNA of Ahaetulla prasina, 1424 nucleotides long. RefSeq lists it as uncharacterized. NCBI's taxonomy places the organism in Eukaryota, Metazoa, Chordata, Lepidosauria, Squamata, Colubridae. The record is from RefSeq and is a predicted model, not a curated record. The transcript has 3 exons.
CCAACCCCCCCCCUGCCCCCCCUCUCUCUUCCCCCUCCUUUCCUCGGCCAUCACUUCGCUGGCUACCCAUCUAUCUAACUCUCCAACCAACCAACCAACUGGCCUCCUCCUCCUUUUCAAGAUUCACUCGUUCCCGUGAAUCAGAAGUUGCUUCCAAACGUUAUUUCAUUGUUUUGGACUUCAAAAAUGUUUCAGCCUCUUUUGCCUAGCUCGUUUUCAAAUGUGGCAGGCACUCCAGAUGGAUCUGCAAAAGCAAGUUCUCUUAUGCUUGUGCACUGAGGUGUGAAGUGAAUAAAUUGUGGUUUAGUCAGCAAGAUCCGAGUUUGAAAACCUGUAAGUCCGGCCCUGUGUUUUGUGCAGGGAUAGCCAACCACGUGCCAAAUAGUCUGGACUACAACUCCCACAAUCCCCGGCCAGGCUGACCCGCAGUAAGGAGAGGUACGAUCUAUCAUCUGGUAUGAAGCCGAAGUUUACGUGGCCUUUAGCGUAUUCAGAGGACAGCCGGAAUGGCUACCAUACCAAAUGGGCGAAAAUGCCUCAAGCACAAUAAAAUAAGUCCUUUAUUAUCCUUUACUACAAAUAAAGUCGACCACCCGUCACUGUCUGUGGCUUCCUACAUAAGUACCUUCGCCUGAAAUCAAGCCUAAUUAAAAUGCCCCUAAAUCCUCUGCGUUUAUUCAGGAGUGGCCCUGAAUUCCAGAGGAUCGUUUCCCGAGAUAAGUACCAAUCGCAAUUUUCAUGGGGUAGGUAGGUGGUUACUGCCUGGCUGGAAAACUUAAACAAUAUCCUAUAAAAGCAGAAUCCUUUUUACUGAAGGGCAUUACUUGGCAACGGUGUGGAUGAGGGAGAUCCGCUGGCACUUUAUCAUUACAACCGAACCAGUUACACCUUUUGGUUAAUUUUAAAGUAAUUUUAGCUGCAAUUCUCUUUGGUCGAGGGAAGUUUUUGGAUCGAAGCCGUUUUAUAUUUCCACAAGGGUACUUUAGCACAGGGGUCUCCAACCUUGGCAACUUUAAGCCUGGAGGACUUCAACUCCCAGAAUUCCCCAGCCAGCAAAGAGCUGAAGACCCCUGCUAUGGCAGACUGCUUCAUCCGCUGUCUCCGGCUAACCGGGAAUGCUGGGAAAUGUAGUCUGAGCAUAUCUGGAGGCCAAUGGAUUGAGGAAAGCCCUUCCUAAGAAAUGAAUAUGCCUUUCCCAUAUAAAUCAGCCUAAGGCUGCAACUUGAAGCAACCCUAGGGCUGCCUGCUCCGAAAUUCCCCACAAGAGAACUCGCAGCUUUGCCGGAGGCUGAAGUCCCAGACAAGUUGACCUAGGGGCAGGCCCGCUUAAACCCAAAGCCACUUCCAUUCAAUACCGGCUACCCUCCGACCUUCUGGACUCCGGCUGAGUUUACAUCUGGACAAGUGGGUGAUUAGUGCGCAUU